This 420-nucleotide small RNA is filed under the name Pongo abelii (Sumatran orangutan). Its description in RNAcentral is "processed transcript". Lineage: Eukaryota; Metazoa; Chordata; Mammalia; Primates; Hominidae. The record is from RNAcentral.
AAACAUUACCCUUUUGCACUAUCUCAUCACUAUUGUGGAAAAUAAGUACCCUAGUGUUCUCAAUCUAAAUGAAGAAUUGCGAGAUAUUCCUCAAGCUGCGAAAGUAAACAUGACUGAGCUGGACAAAGAAAUAAGUACCUUGAGAAGUGGCUUGAAAGCAGUAGAGACAGAGCUGGAAUAUCAGAAGUCUCAGCCCCCACAUCCCGGAGAUAAGUUUGUGUCUGUUGUCAGCCAGUUCAUCACAGUAGCCAGCUUCAGCUUCUCUGAUGUUGAAGACCUUCUAGCAGAAGCUAAAGACCUGUUUACUAAAGCAGUGAAGCACUUUGGGGAAGAGGCUGGCAAAAUACAACCAGAUGAGUUCUUUGGCAUUUUUGAUCAAUUUCUUCAAGCUGUGUCAGAAGCCAAACAAGAAAACGAAAA